GACGAACGCUGGCGGCGUGCUUAACACGUGCAAGUCGAACGGAAAGGCCCUGCUUUUGUGGGGUGCUCGAGUGGCGAACGGGUGAGUAACACGUGAGUAACCUGCCCUUGACUUUGGGAUAACUUCAGGAAACUGGGGCUAAUACCGGAUAGGAGCUCCUGCUACAUGGUGGGGGUUGGAAAGUUUCGGCGGUUGGGGAUGGACUCGCGGCUUAUCAGCUUGUUGGUGGGGUAGUGGCUUACCAAGGCUUUGACGGGUAGCCGGCCUGAGAGGGUGACCGGCCACAUUGGGACUGAGAUACGGCCCAGACUCCUACGGGAGGCAGCAGUGGGGAAUAUUGCACAAUGGGCGGAAGCCUGAUGCAGCAACGCCGCGUGCGGGAUGACGGCCUUCGGGUUGUAAACCGCUUUCGCCUGUGACGAAGCGUGAGUGACGGUAAUGGGUAAAGAAGCACCGGCUAACUACGUG
This 468-nucleotide ribosomal RNA is filed under the name uncultured bacterium. Its description in RNAcentral is "partial 16S ribosomal RNA". It matches the Rfam family "Bacterial small subunit ribosomal RNA", at positions 28 to 507 of the family's 1533-position model. The record is from RNAcentral.